This is a long non-coding RNA of Cyprinus carpio (common carp), 1770 nucleotides long. Lineage: Eukaryota; Metazoa; Chordata; Actinopteri; Cypriniformes; Cyprinidae. The record is from Ensembl.
UUUUGUGUCUUUAUUAGGCUAAUAUGAUUAUCAUAUGUCAACAAUUAAGAAAAUAAUUUUCAAAAAAAAAAACCUGCGAAAGAUUCAGCUAUCUGGGUGUAGCUAGUGAAACAAGAUUGAUUGCUUCAGUGAAUUGUUUUACUGUCGAGGGACUUAAAUAACCCAUUUAACAUUACACGAGAACGGACUCCUUCUGGACCGUUUGCGGCGUCUCUUCCCUCAGAUCACAGAGAGGAAAUCAUCAUCUUCAUCAUCAUCAUCAUCAUCAUCACACGGACUCAGAUGUCCCGCGGCGCUGCGUCGGUGAAAUUGGAUAUUUAAGGCAGCGCAGAAAGCAGUUCACAUUCACUCUCCGCGGCGCGCGGCCAGAGAGACGCUCUGCAACUGACUGACAGAUAAUAUGAGACUACAGUCUUGAGAACGAACGACGCUCCAUAACGUGACCGGGAGGAGAACGAGGUACACGGACUCUGUGAGUCCUCGGUGAACGCGGAGGCUGCUUGAGGAGGACGGUGGAUGACCGCGAGCGCUCACUUCAGAAGAGCGCGUGUCACUGAACUCAGCUGCAGGGAAUUAGUAGGACUUUUUCCUCUACAGUGGCAGGCCGUGCUCCACAGAACACUCUCUCAGGUCUGUAUUAUCUGAUCGGGUCCAGACUGAAUUUCACCAUUUUGUCAGCACCAAGGCAGCAGAAGCAGAAGAGCUGAAGGUGACCUGUGGCUGGGCCGGGGGCUGCAACACAGGACAUGGGAGCUGCCUCUCACUCCCGCUCGUGUCUUGUGUUGCAGCCAGUGGAACUGCUGCACUGUCCACAUCAGAGAAGGAAGGAAGCAUCGCGCUCUGGGAACAUUACACCAUCUUACAGUUGCUGUCUGUCAAAUCUUUGCUCCUCUCAUCUUCUUCUAAAAGGAAAACACAGAGCUGAUAAUGACAUCAAACAGGCUUCCAUAUCGACUGAUCGUCCCAGUUGUCAUCGUAAAACAUUAAACACUCGGAGUGGAAAGAAGACUGCGGGAGGGGCAGCGGAAACACGGGGAGGUGAAAUGGAGGACAGGGAAACCAGACAAGACUGAUAUUGGUGCGAGCGCUGGGGAUGUUGGUUUGAUGGCCAACAACCAUGAAAGCACCUCAGCGUGCAGCAGCACUGAAGGAUUUCAUUGUACUCGCUUUUGAUAAAUAUGAGGGGGAGUGAAGCCAGGAACAAUUCCAGCAGUGUUAUCAGGAGCAAACAGGCAGAGUCAUGGGGCCCCAUCUGCAGGAACGAGAUCGCAGCCAUGUUGCUCACUUUCCUGCGCGAGCGUGGACAGGCCGUGACUCAUUCAGCUGGCAGAGGGAAGCCGAUUCUCCAGAGCAUCUCCUAGACUGCCAACUUAUUUAUUGAUAAAGACAAGUGACCCUGUUUAAACAGGCAGCAUCAUCUUUCCUUAUUUUCACUCCACAAAUAUAACCCAUGUUUAUGUCCAUUUAUAUAUAAAUAUAUAUUUUACAUGUAUAGAUAUUAAUAUAUAUGUAUAAUAUUUUAGAAUAUGGAUGUAUAUUUAUCAAUAUAAUGUAAUUGUUAAAAUAUAUGGGGGAAAUUCAGGUUAAUUGGGAUAUUCAGUCAUCAUCUCAAUAGCAAAAAGUAUCCUAAUUUACCUGAAUUCACCCUAAUAAUAACAAUACAUAAUGUAGAAUAUAUGUGUGUGUGUGUGUGUGUGUGUGCAGUGACAACAGUGUGUNUAAAUGAAAAUAUAUAAUAAAUUUUUUUAAAUAAAAUAAAUAUGUAGCCUA